AUUGAACGCUGGCGGCAGGCCUAACACAUGCAAGUCAAGCGGAUGAAGGGAGCUUGCUCCUGGAUUCAGCGGCGGACGGGUGAGUAAUGCCUAGGAAUCUGCCUGGCAGUGGGGGAUAACGUCCGGAAACGGGCGCUAAUACCGCAUACGUCCUGAGGGAGAAAGUGGGGGAUCUUCGGACCUCACGCUAUCAGAUGAGCCUAGGUCGGAUUAGCUAGCUGGUGGGGUAAAGGCCUACCAAGGCGACGAUCCGCAACUGGUCUGAGAGGAUGAUCAGUCACACUGGAACUGAGACACGGUCCAGACUCCUACGGGAGGCAGCAGUGGGGAAUAUUGGGCAAUGGGCGAAAGCCUGAUCCAGCCAUGCCGCGUGUGUGAAGAAGGUCUUCGGAUUGUAAAGCACUUUAAGUUGGGAGGAAGAGCAGUAAGUUAAUACCUUGCUGUUUUGACGUUACCAACAGAAUAAGCACCGGCUAACUUCGUG
This 484-nucleotide ribosomal RNA is filed under the name uncultured bacterium. Its description in RNAcentral is "partial 16S ribosomal RNA". It matches the Rfam family "Bacterial small subunit ribosomal RNA", at positions 30 to 507 of the family's 1533-position model. The record is from RNAcentral.